CUUGGUGAUUAUUGCGAUGUGGAACCACUCGAUCCCAUUCCGAACUCGCCAGUUAAACACAUUAGCGCCGAUUGUACUUGGUUUUUUAGCCCGGGAGAUUAGGUCGUCGCCAAGU
Molecule: ribosomal RNA, 115 nt
Filed under: Rickettsiales bacterium
Lineage: Bacteria; Pseudomonadati; Pseudomonadota; Alphaproteobacteria; Rickettsiales
Source: RNAcentral